UCUCCGACCUCUCUUCUCUGUCCUCUCUCCCUUCUAUGUCCUCUUCUUUCUAGAUCUCCCACCUCUCUUCUGUCUUCUGCCCACCACCACCGACGCCACUAACCACCGCCGCCACUGAUACAACUUAUUUUCUGGUCAAAUUUGAGGUGUUAAUUCAUGCUACAAUUCAAGGAUUCAAGACUUUUUUUUUGGAAUAUUGUUUUGAUGUUGUAAUUUUUUUGUUUUUUUUUUAUUUUAUUUUAUUGUUUUACAAUUUCAAUUUCUGAGUUAGAAUUUCAUUAUAAUUUAUUGUAACUUUUUAUUUUUUAUUUUUUUUGUAUUGUACAAUAACAAUUUACUUGAAUAUAAUGUGAUUUACAAUUGUUUUGA
Long non-coding RNA from Chenopodium quinoa (quinoa), 369 nucleotides. RefSeq lists it as uncharacterized. The record is from RefSeq and is a predicted model, not a curated record. The transcript has 2 exons. NCBI's taxonomy places the organism in Eukaryota, Viridiplantae, Streptophyta, Magnoliopsida, Caryophyllales, Amaranthaceae.